RNAcentral lists this ribosomal RNA (468 nucleotides) under uncultured bacterium. RNAcentral's name for it is "partial 16S ribosomal RNA". It matches the Rfam family "Bacterial small subunit ribosomal RNA", at positions 28 to 507 of the family's 1533-position model. The record is from RNAcentral.
GACGAACGCUGGCGGCGUGCUUAACACAUGCAAGUCGAACGGAAAGGCCCUGCUUUUGUGGGGUGCUCGAGUGGCGAACGGGUGAGUAACACGUGAGUAACCUGCCCUUGACUUUGGGAUAACUUCAGGAAACUGGGGCUAAUACCGGAUAGGAGCUCCUGCUGCAUGGUGGGGGUUGGAAAGUUUCGGCGGGUGGGGAUGGACUCGCGGCUUAUCAGCUUGCUGGUGGGGUAGUGGCUUACCAAGGCUUUGACGGGUAGCCGGCCUGGGAGGGUGAACGGCCACAUUGGGACUGAGAGACGGACCAGACUCCUACGUGAGGCAGCAGGGGGGAAUAUUGCACAAUGGGCGGAAGUCUGAUGCAGCAGCGCCGCGUGCGGGAUGACGGCCUUCUGGUUGUAAACCGCUUUCGCCUGUGACGAAGCGUGAGUGACGGUAAUGGGUAAAGAAGCACCGGCUAACUACGUG